RNAcentral lists this ribosomal RNA (657 nucleotides) under uncultured archaeon. RNAcentral describes it as "bacterial SSU rRNA". It matches the Rfam family "Archaeal small subunit ribosomal RNA", at positions 175 to 817 of the family's 1478-position model. The record is from RNAcentral.
AUGGGUUUUGGUCGAAAUGGCGUAACAGCAUCUUGUUACUUUCGCCCAAGGAUGGGACUGCGGCCGAUCAGGCUGUUGGUGAGGUAAAGGCUCACCAAACCAGUAACCGGUACGGGCUUUGAGAGAAGGAGCCCGGAGAUGGACACUGAGACAAGGGUCCAGGUCCUACGGGGCGCAGCAGGCGCGAAACCUUCGCAAUGCGCGCAAGCGCGACGAGGUUAUUCUGAGUGAUUUCCGCUGAGGAAAUCUUUUCUUAGAUCUAAAAAGUCUGGGGAAUAAGGGGAGGGCAAGUCUGGUGUCAGCCGCCGCGGUAAUACCAGCUCCUCGAGUGGUCAGGGCGUUUAUUGGGCCUAAAGCAUCCGUAGCCGGCUCAUUAGGUCUCCUGUUAAAUCCAACGGCUCAACCGUUGGUCUGCAGGAGAUACCGAUGGGCUAGGAGGCGGGAGAGGCGGACGGUACUCCGAGGGUAGGGGUAAAAUCCUUUGAUCCCCGGAAGACCACCAGUGGCGAAGGCGGUCCGCCAGAACGCGCUCGACGGUGAGGGAUGAAAGCUGGGGGAGCGAACCGGAUUAGAUACCCGGGUAGUCCCAGCUGUAAACGAUGCGAGCUAGGUGACACAUGGCCUUCGGGGCCUUGUGGUGCCGCAGGGAAGCCGUUA